GAUGAACGCUAGCGACAGGCUUAACACAUGCAAGUCGAGGGGCAGCGGGGAUGUAGCUUGCUAUAUCUGCCGGCGACCGGCGCACGGGUGAGUAACACGUAUGCAACCUGCCCAUUGCAGGGGGAUAAGCAGAAGAAAUUCUGUCUAAUACCGCGUAAUAUGAGAUUGAGGCAUCUCGGUUUCAUUAAAGAUUUAUCGGCAAUGGAUGGGCAUGCGGCGCAUUAGCUAGUUGGCGGGUAACGGCCCACCAAGGCGACGAUGCGUAGGGGUUCUGAGAGGAAGGUCCCCCCANACUGGUACUGAGACACGGACCAGACUCCUACGGGAGGCAGCAGUGAGGAAUAUUGGUCAAUGGGCGAGAGCCUGAACCAGCCAAGUCGCGUGAGGGAAGACGGGUCCCUAAUGGGGUUGUAAAACUUCUUUUGUUCGGGAAUAAAGUGCAGUACGCGUACUGUUUUGUAUAUACCGUUCGAAUAAGCAUCGGCUAAUU
Molecule: ribosomal RNA, 490 nt
Filed under: uncultured bacterium
Lineage: Bacteria
Description: bacterial SSU rRNA
Rfam family: Bacterial small subunit ribosomal RNA
Source: RNAcentral